This 253-nucleotide ribosomal RNA is filed under the name uncultured bacterium. Its description in RNAcentral is "partial 16S ribosomal RNA". It matches the Rfam family "Bacterial small subunit ribosomal RNA", at positions 524 to 776 of the family's 1533-position model. The record is from RNAcentral.
UACAGAGGGGGCAAGCGUUGUUCGGAAUUACUGGGCGUAAAGGGCGCGUAGGCGGCCUGCUAAGUCGAACGUGAAAUCCCCGAGCUCAACUCGGGAACUGCGUCCGAUACUGGCAGGCUUGAAUCCGGGAGAGGGAUGCGGAAUUCCAGGUGUAGCGGUGAAAUGCGUAGAUAUGCGGAGGAACACCGAUGGCGAAGGCAAUCCCCUGGACCUGUACUGACGCUCAUGCACGAAAGCGUGGGGAGCAAACAGG